AAACCCUAAUAUACACGCGACCUCGGUGUGUUUUGUAAUUUAAAGCUAAGGAAGAUCUUGUAAAGGCAUACCAACCCCAUAUUAGCAAAAAGUCGUGUGUAUCUAGAGAUACACUAGGAAAAAUGUGUGCAUUCAUGAAAUUUUGGUAAGAUUCUUGGAAUUUUGGCAGAUUCAUAGAUUUUUUGGUGAGAUCCAUGGAGUUUCGGCCAGAUCCAUAAAUUUUUCGACAAGAUUCAUGGAUUUUUCGGCGAGACCCAUAGAAUUCCAUCAGAUUCAUGAAUUUUUCGAUGAAAUUCAUGGAAUUUUGGCCAGAUUCAUAAAUUUUUCACUGAGAUUCAUGAAAUUUCGGCCAGGUCUAUGGAUUUUCCAGCGAGUACUAUGAAAUUUUUGUUAGAUUCAUGGAUUUUUCAAUGAGAUUAAUGAAAUUUUGGUGAGAUCUAUGAAACUCCGGCAACAAUGAUGGUCUCUAACCAUGUAUCCUACCCAAUUAAUGUGUGUUUGUAUAUCUCAGUCUUAAAAGACAUAGUAUUAGAUACACAUCUCAGACACAUGCAAGUCUGUGUAUGUGAAAUACACGCGGCCCGA
This 585-nucleotide long non-coding RNA is filed under the name Capsicum annuum. RNAcentral's name for it is "long non-coding RNA (CANN_LNC000729)". The record is from RNAcentral. Lineage: Eukaryota; Viridiplantae; Streptophyta; Magnoliopsida; Solanales; Solanaceae.